UACGGAGGGUGCAAGCGUUAUCCGGAUUCACUGGGUUUAAAGGGCGCGUAGGCGGGUUGGUAAGUCCGUGGUGAAAUCCCCAAGCUUAACUUGGGAACUGCCGUGGAUACUAUCAAUCUUGAAUAUCGUGGAGGUAAGCGGAAUAUGUCAUGUAGCGGUGAAAUGCUUAGAUAUGACAUAGAACACCAAUUGCGUAGGCAGCUUACUACACGAUCAUUGACGCUGAGGCACGAAAGCGUGGGGAGCAAACAGG
RNAcentral lists this ribosomal RNA (253 nucleotides) under uncultured bacterium. RNAcentral describes it as "partial 16S ribosomal RNA". It matches the Rfam family "Bacterial small subunit ribosomal RNA", at positions 524 to 776 of the family's 1533-position model. The record is from RNAcentral.